AGGAUGAACGCUGGCGGUGUGCCUAAUACAUGCAAGUCGAACGAGACCUUCGGGUCUAGUGGCGGACGGGUGAGUAACACGUUGGUACCUACCCCGAAGUGGGGAAUAACUGCCCGAAAGGGUGGCUAAUACCGCAUAAUACCGCAAGGUUAAAGCAGUAAUGCGCUUCGGGAGGGGCCUGCGUCCCAUUAGCUUGUUGGUAGUGUAAUAGACUACCAAGGCGACGAUGGGUAGCUGGAUCGAGAGGUUGACCAGCCACACUGGGACUGAGAUACGGCCCAGACUCCUACGGGAGGCAGCAGUAAGGAAUCUUCCACAAUGGAC
Molecule: ribosomal RNA, 324 nt
Filed under: uncultured bacterium
Lineage: Bacteria
Description: SSU rRNA
Rfam family: Bacterial small subunit ribosomal RNA
Source: RNAcentral